RNAcentral lists this ribosomal RNA (453 nucleotides) under uncultured bacterium. Its description in RNAcentral is "bacterial SSU rRNA". It matches the Rfam family "Bacterial small subunit ribosomal RNA", at positions 340 to 784 of the family's 1533-position model. The record is from RNAcentral.
UACGGGAGGCAGCAGUGGGGAAUAUUGCACAAUGGGCGCAAGCCUGAUGCAGCCAUGCCGCGUGUAUGAAGAAGGCCUUCGGGUUGUAAAGUACUUUCAGUCGUGAGGAAGGUGUUAAGGUUAAUAACCUUAGCAAUUGACGUUAGCGACAGAAGAAGCACCGGCUAACUCCGUGCCAGCAGCCGCGGUAAUACGGAGGGUGCGAGCGUUAAUCGGAAUUACUGGGCGUAAAGGGCACGCAGGCGGUUAAUUAAGUUGGAUGUGAAAUCCCCGGGCUUAACCUGGGAAUGGCAUUCAAGACUGGUUAGCUAGAGUCUUGUAGAGGGGGUAGAAUUCCGAUGUGUAGCGGUGAAAUGCGUAGAGAUGUGGAGGAAUACCGGUGGCGAAGGCGGCCCCUGGACAAAGGCUGACGCUCAUGUGCGAAAGCGUGGGGAGCAAACGAGGGAUUAGAUA